AAAUGAAUAGACGGGCACCCGCACAAGCGGUGGAGCAUGCUGUUUAAUUCGAAGAUACGCGAAGAACCUUACCUAGACUUGACAUCCCCGGCAAAGACAUGGAAACAUGUUGGAGGUUACCCGGGUGACAGGUGGUGCAUGGUUGUCGUCAGCUCGUGUCGUGAGAUGUUCGGUUAAGUCCGCUAACGAGCGCAACCCUUGUCCUUAGUUGCUAACAUUAAGUUGAGAACCCUAAGGAGACUGCCGGUGAUAAGCCGGAGGAAGGUGGGGAUGACGUCAAAUCAUCAUGCCCCUUACGUCUAGGGCUACAGGCGUGCUAUAAUGGCCAAUAUAAAGAGACGCAAAACCGUGAGGUGGAGCAAAACUCCAAAGUUGGUCUCAGUUCGGAUUGAAGUCUGCAACUCGACUUCAUGAAGUUAGAAUCGCUAGUAAUCCUGAAUCAGAAUGUCAGGGUGAAUACGUUCCCGGGUGUUGUACACACCGCCCGU
RNAcentral lists this ribosomal RNA (488 nucleotides) under uncultured bacterium. RNAcentral's name for it is "bacterial SSU rRNA". It matches the Rfam family "Bacterial small subunit ribosomal RNA", at positions 903 to 1397 of the family's 1533-position model. The record is from RNAcentral.